AUUGAACGCUGGCGGCAUGCUUUACACAUGCAAGUCGAACGGCAGCGCGGGCUUCGGCCUGGCGGCGAGUGGCGAACGGGUGAGUAAUACAUCGGAACGUGCCCAGUAGUGGGGGAUAGCUCGGCGAAAGCCGGAUUAAUACCGCAUACGACCUGAGGGUGAAAGCGGGGGAUCUUCGGACCUCGCGCUAUUGGAGCGGCCGAUGGCGGAUUAGCUAGUUGGUGGGGUAAAGGCCUACCAAGGCGACGAUCUGUAGCUGGUCUGAGAGGACGACCAGCCACACUGGGACUGAGACACGGCCCAGACUCCUACGGGAGGCAGCAGUGGGGAAUUUUGGACAAAGGGCGAAAGCCUGAUCCAGCAAUGCCGCGUGUGUGAUGAAGGCCUUCGGGUUGUAAAGCACUUUUGGCGGGAACGAAAAGGACUGUGCCAAUACCACGGUUCGAUGACGGUACCCGCAGAAUAAGCACCGGCUAACUACGUG
Molecule: ribosomal RNA, 484 nt
Filed under: uncultured bacterium
Lineage: Bacteria
Description: partial 16S ribosomal RNA
Rfam family: Bacterial small subunit ribosomal RNA
Source: RNAcentral